GCUCCCAGGAGAAGGUCAAGCUCUGUAAGUUUCCAUCUAAUGGCUUCUUUUGUCUUCAUUCCAGCAAAGGAGAGGACUGAGUGGCCCAGAUGGAAAGCAGAAAUGCAGACAGAGGCCUGUGGAAGAAGAAUCUUAAAAUAACUAAGCAACUCCAAGAAAACAAGUGAGGAUUUAUUGGAAACAACUGCCUUGAAAGAAGAAAAAAACACUCCAACUUGUUCAAAGUACUUUAUUUUGAUUUCACCUUUGACCCAGAACUUAUCUAGAGAAAAUUUGAGAAGAUAAUACAGAAAGCUCAUAUACUUCAAGCUAUGGGAUGAAUUGUGUUCAACAAAGAAGGAAAGAACCUUUCCUGGCUGAAGUCAGAGGCUGAGGUCAGAGGAAGACGUGACUAUAGAAGAAUGAUCAUAGGAUUGCAAUAUUGCUGGUCUUGAAGACAGAGGAAGGAUGUGGGUUACAUCUAGAAACUGGAAAAGGUGAGGACCACACGUGGAAAAGGGAGGCUGAGAAUGUAAGACAUCAGCAGAGUGUGGAUCUGAUAGCUGUGUUGGGACUAAUGGAAGAUAGAUGGUUUGAGAGGCACCCACACCCUUGGAGCCCAAAACCAUGCCAUGCACAUGUAACCAACCAGCUACAUGUGAAGAUCACAUAAAGGUGUUCUUGUCCUGGCUCUAGCUAAGGUUCCAGCUCUCAGUCAGCAUCAAUUGUGGAAGAUGGGAGUGCAUGAGCUUUUAGAUGAUUUCAGUCCCCUGCCUUUGACACCAAGUGGAACUGAGAUGAUCUUUCCACCGAGCCCUAGUCAAACUGCAGAUUCAUGAGCAAAAUAAACACCAUCAUUACUGAAGCAACAUGGCAUGUGGGGUGAUAUGUUGGGGAAGCCAUAGAUAAUCAGAGAAAGCUCCUUUUCUUUGUGAGCAAUAUUAUUUGCAUAGGAGAGAGACAAAGCUGCAUGGACUGGAAACUUCCAUGACCAAAAAAGAUGUCAUUUUCUAAGGGCUUGAGUGGGAGGUGGCCCUGACAGCAUCUGCAUGAGCCAGAGAUGCACUCACACUUUCAUUAUUGCUUGAGGGUGCCAAGAACUGUAGCAGUAAGAGCAGAAGCAGAAAUGAAGAACACGAAGGAUGCUAUGGAGUGAGAGAAAAGUCCAUGCUUGCAAGAAUCCAAAGACACCCUGUGAGGACGCCCCAAAAUACUCGAGGAAGUGUCUUCUCUAGAAAAAAAUUUCACAGGGAGGGAGCAGCUGCCAAGAUCCACACCUUCUUCCCUCCACACCAACUCACUCCAUCAUCUUCAACAACUGCCAACCUAUUCAUCCUGCUUCAGUUGGAAGAGCUAAACUUUUUGUUUAUUUUUGGAUUCAAGAUAAAAUUUUAUUCAAAAGAUG
This 1384-nucleotide long non-coding RNA is filed under the name Homo sapiens (human). RNAcentral's name for it is "HSALNT0401034". The record is from RNAcentral. Lineage: Eukaryota; Metazoa; Chordata; Mammalia; Primates; Hominidae.